This 85-nucleotide transfer RNA is filed under the name Amaricoccus sp. RNAcentral's name for it is "tRNA-Leu". It matches the Rfam family "tRNA". Rfam says of the family: Transfer RNA (tRNA) molecules are approximately 80 nucleotides in length. The record is from RNAcentral. Lineage: Bacteria; Pseudomonadati; Pseudomonadota; Alphaproteobacteria; Rhodobacterales; Paracoccaceae.
GCGGGCGUGGCGGAAUUGGCAGACGCACCAGAUUUAGGUUCUGGCGCCGAAAGGCGUGGGGGUUCGAGACCCUCCGCCCGCACCA